GAUGAACGCUGGCGGCGUGCCUAAUACAUGCAAGUCGAGCGAACGGACGAGAAGCUUGCUUCUCUGAUGUUAGCGGCGGACGGGUGAGUAACACGUGGAUAACCUACCUAUAAGACUGGGAUAACUUCGGGAAACCGGAGCUAAUACCGGAUAAUAUUUUGAACCGCAUGGUUCAUAAGUGAAAGACGGUCUUGCUGUCACUUAUAGAUGGAUCCGCGCUGCAUUAGCUAGUUGGUAAGGUAACGGCUUACCAAGGCAACGAUGCAUAGCCGACCUGAGAGGGGGGUCGGCCACACUGGAACUGAGACACGGUCCAGACUCCUACGGGAGGCAGCAGUAGGGAAUCGUCCGCAAUGGGCGAAAGCCUGACGGAGCAACGCCGCGUGAGUGAUGAAGGUCUUCGGAUCGUAAAACUCUGUUAUUAGGGAAGAACAUAUGUGUAAGUAGCUGUGCACAUCUUGACGGUACCUAAUCAGAAAGCCACGGCUAACUACGUG
Molecule: ribosomal RNA, 497 nt
Filed under: uncultured bacterium
Lineage: Bacteria
Description: partial 16S ribosomal RNA
Rfam family: Bacterial small subunit ribosomal RNA
Source: RNAcentral